RNAcentral lists this ribosomal RNA (1826 nucleotides) under Escherichia coli. RNAcentral describes it as "bacterial LSU rRNA". It matches the Rfam family "Bacterial large subunit ribosomal RNA", at positions 1133 to 2925 of the family's 2925-position model. Lineage: Bacteria; Pseudomonadati; Pseudomonadota; Gammaproteobacteria; Enterobacterales; Enterobacteriaceae. The record is from RNAcentral.
CGUAAUAGCUCACUGGUCGAGUCGGCCUGCGCGGAAGAUGUAACGGGGCUAAACCAUGCACCGAAGCUGCGGCAGCGACACUAUGUGUUGUUGGGUAGGGGAGCGUUCUGUAAGCCUGUGAAGGUGGCCUGUGAGGGUUGCUGGAGGUAUCAGAAGUGCGAAUGCUGACAUAAGUAACGAUAAAGCGGGUGAAAAGCCCGCUCGCCGGAAGACCAAGGGUUCCUGUCCAACGUUAAUCGGGGCAGGGUGAGUCGACCCCUAAGGCGAGGCCGAAAGGCGUAGUCGAUGGGAAACAGGUUAAUAUUCCUGUACUUGGUGUUACUGCGAAGGGGGGACGGAGAAGGCUAUGUUGGCCGGGCGACGGUUGUCCCGGUUUAAGCGUGUAGGCUGGUUUUCCAGGCAAAUCCGGAAAACCAAGGCUGAGGCGUGAUGACGAGGCACUACGGUGCUGAAGCGACAAAUGCCCUGCUUCCAGGAAAAGCCUCUAAGCAUCAGGUAACAUCAAAUCGUACCCCAAACCGACACAGGUGGUCAGGUAGAGAAUACCAAGGCGCUUGAGAGAACUCGGGUGAAGGAACUAGGCAAAAUGGUGCCGUAACUUCGGGAGAAGGCACGCUGAUAUGUAGGUGAAGCGACUUGCUCGUGGAGCUGAAAUCAGUCGAAGAUACCAGCUGGCUGCAACUGUUUAUUAAAAACACAGCACUGUGCAAACACGAAAGUGGACGUAUACGGUGUGACGCCUGCCCGGUGCCGGAAGGUUAAUUGAUGGGGUUAGCGGUAACGCGAAGCUCUUGAUCGAAGCCCCGGUAAACGGCGGCCGUAACUAUAACGGUCCUAAGGUAGCGAAAUUCCUUGUCGGGUAAGUUCCGACCUGCACGAAUGGCGUAAUGAUGGCCAGGCUGUCUCCACCCGAGACUCAGUGAAAUUGAACUCGCUGUGAAGAUGCAGUGUACCCGCGGCAAGACGGAAAGACCCCGUGAACCUUUACUAUAGCUUGACACUGAACAUUGAGCCUUGAUGUGUAGGAUAGGUGGGAGGCUUUGAAGUGUGGACGCCAGUCUGCAUGGAGCCGACCUUGAAAUACCACCCUUUAAUGUUUGAUGUUCUAACGUUGGCCCGUAAUCCGGGUUGCGGACAGUGUCUGGUGGGUAGUUUGACUGGGGCGGUCUCCUCCUAAAGAGUAACGGAGGAGCACGAAGGUUGGCUAAUCCUGGUCGGACAUCAGGAGGUUAGUGCAAUGGCAUAAGCCAGCUUGACUGCGAGCGUGACGGCGCGAGCAGGUGCGAAAGCAGGUCAUAGUGAUCCGGUGGUUCUGAAUGGAAGGGCCAUCGCUCAACGGAUAAAAGGUACUCCGGGGAUAACAGGCUGAUACCGCCCAAGAGUUCAUAUCGACGGCGGUGUUUGGCACCUCGAUGUCGGCUCAUCACAUCCUGGGGCUGAAGUAGGUCCCAAGGGUAUGGCUGUUCGCCAUUUAAAGUGGUACGCGAGCUGGGUUUAGAACGUCGUGAGACAGUUCGGUCCCUAUCUGCCGUGGGCGCUGGAGAACUGAGGGGGGCUGCUCCUAGUACGAGAGGACCGGAGUGGACGCAUCACUGGUGUUCGGGUUGUCAUGCCAAUGGCACUGCCCGGUAGCUAAAUGCGGAAGAGAUAAGUGCUGAAAGCAUCUAAGCACGAAACUUGCCCCGAGAUGAGUUCUCCCUGACUCCUUGAGAGUCCUGAAGGAACGUUGAAGACGACGACGUUGAUAGGCCGGGUGUGUAAGCGCAGCGAUGCGUUGAGCUAACCGGUACUAAUGAACCGUGAGGCUUAACCUUACAACGCCGAAG